This 120-nucleotide ribosomal RNA is filed under the name Oidiodendron maius Zn. Lineage: Eukaryota; Fungi; Ascomycota; Leotiomycetes; Myxotrichaceae. The record is from RNAcentral.
ACAUACGACCACAGACUGAGGAGCAUUGGGCAUCCCGUCCGCUCUGCCAUACACAAGCCUCAGAUCGGUAGAUUAGUAGUUGAGUAGGUGACUAUCAGCGAAUUCCUACUGUUGUAUGCU